UACGGGAGGUGCAAGCGUUGUUCGGAGUGACUGGGCGUAAAGCGCACGUAGGCGGGUUUGUAAGUCGGAUGUGAAAUCCCUAGGCUUAACCUGGGAACUGCAUCCGAAACUACAAGUCUUGAAUAUCUCAGAGGUUGGUAGAAUUCCUGGUGUAGGAGUGAAAUCCGUAGAUAUCAGGAGGAAUACCGGAGGCGAAGGCGGCCAACUGGGAGAAUAUUGACGCUGAGGUGCGAAAGCGUGGGGAGCAAACAGG
This 253-nucleotide ribosomal RNA is filed under the name uncultured bacterium. Its description in RNAcentral is "partial 16S ribosomal RNA". It matches the Rfam family "Bacterial small subunit ribosomal RNA", at positions 524 to 776 of the family's 1533-position model. The record is from RNAcentral.